UACGGAGGGUGCAAGCGUUAAUCGGAAUUACUGGGCGUAAAGGGCGCGUAGGCGGGACGGUAGGUCUGCCGUGAAAUCCCCGAGCUCAACCUGGGAAUGGCGGUAGAAACCGGAGCACUUGAGUAUGGGGGAGGGUGGUGGAAUUCCAGAUGUAGCGGUGAAAUGCAUAGAUAUCUGGAGGAACACCGAUGGCGAAGGCGGCCACCUGGGCCAAUACUGACGCUGAGGCGCGAAAGCGUGGGGAGCAAACAGG
RNAcentral lists this ribosomal RNA (253 nucleotides) under uncultured bacterium. Its description in RNAcentral is "partial 16S ribosomal RNA". It matches the Rfam family "Bacterial small subunit ribosomal RNA", at positions 524 to 776 of the family's 1533-position model. The record is from RNAcentral.